UCCCUCCCUUCGAAGUCCUCAAGGCACACAGCAGCCAUGUGCAGGGGUUGCUUGCGGCCCAGCUCUAUAAUAGGCACGUCUGAACUGUAUCCCAGAUGCUGUGGAUUUUGCCAGUUUUGGGGAUCGGGAAGGAAUUUUCUCUGGGGCAAGAAUGACAAGGUGCUUGGUGUUUUUCCCCCUCUUCCCUCCCUCCCCCCACUUUCCUUGCAGUAUCCUGGAAGCCUGGUGUGAGGUUAAUGAGGCAUAAGGACAGAGUUUAAAAGUUGAGAGUUUGGAAUUUCAUUGCAGCUGGCAUCUAAUGCCUGUGAAGGUGCCAGCGCCCAGAGGGGGAAGGUGAGAGGAUUCUGAGUGGUCUGAACCUUAGUGGAUAGACUGAAAAGGGCCAGCACAGAAUUGUGGUUAUUUGGCGUCACACUGGAGCCAGAGAACUGCCUGCUGGGGUGGAUAGUGUGCCAAAGUUAAAGUUGCAGCCUUCUACUUUAAAAAAGAGUCGGAAUUGAAAGGGACUUCAGUCCAGAUGGCAUCUUUUCCCACUGCAGGAGAAGAAAGAGGGGAAUUAAUGAUACUGCCAUACAAAACUGGGCGUGACAGACACAUUCAAAUGAUUAGAGAAGACCAGAAACCCAAAUGCAACAGGAUCCCACUUGGAAUAUAUUAACAGCACCAGUCACCUGCAUUUUGAACGAUAUUUUAUGGAGUUUGUAAGCAGCAAAAUAUAGGAGCAGUGUGUCCCAGUCCCUGGCAGGCUGCAGAGUUGUGCCUUCUUGGGCUUGCACUGAGGGCACUCCCACAGGUGUCAGGCCCCUCUCCACAUUUCACCCACUCUCAGACCAGGAUCUGGAUUACAGCCUCCUACAUACUGACCAUGAAUAAUUCAGCAAGUCCAGCUGGGAUUGGUCCCUGCCAGAUUUCUCUUUUGGGGGCCUCUGACAGCAUACUCUGACCGUGAUACAGAAAGAGCUUCUUCAAAACAAAGUGUCCUUUAUUUUAUCCAGAAGGUACACAGUGCUUAGAGAAGUGGAUUUUAAAAUAACCAAGACCUACAAGCAUAUCUCCUUACCUAAGCUUAACCCCUCCAUCCACUGCUUAGUGUGGUCUGGGUUAUUCACCAUCUCUGAGUUGGGACCAACAGCCUACACUGAUUGCAGUCCUCUCCCUAGUCCCUGAAUGUCUGGGCUGGUCUACACUAGGGGAGGGGAUCGAUCUAAGAUGCAACUUCAGCUACGUGAAUAACGUAGCUGAAGUCGAAGUAUCUUAGAUCGAAUUACCUACUGUCCUCACGGCGCGGGAUCGACGUCCGCGGCUCCCCCUGUCGACUCCGCUACCACUGCUUGCUCCGGUGGAGUUCCGGAGUCGACAGGAGCGUGUUUGGGGAUCGAUAUAUCGUGUCUAGAUGUGAUGCGAUAUAUCGAUCCCCGAGGAAUCGAUCGCUACCUGCCGAUACGGCAGGUAGUGAAGACGUAGCCUCUCAGACGGUCAGCCUUUUUGCCGACAAAUCCUAGCCAAGCUCUCUCAGCUCACCCAAUACCAUGUCCUUUUUCUAGCAUAUUUAAGGAGUUAGGUCUCCUUUGACCUCAGGCUUAGUUUUAGGAAGAGAACAGCAUCCUACCCUGCAUGGAGCCAGCUAGGUAACUUCUCCUCACAAUUGAUGGCCCAGGAAUUAUUCUCUUAAUUCUUUAGAAGCAGCCUCUUGGAUUCACUGUCUUAUCUUUACCAUUCCUGGGUUCUAGAACACUGUUUUUAUGAUUUAACUCUAUGCACUCAGGCAGGCAGCAAUACAAAAAAUGACCAAGGAAACUGAGUCAUAAGAAAUAUUACAAACAUGUUUCCAAGUUUUUCACAAAGGACCUGACUUUGGGGUUGCUUCUGACACUGGUGUAAAUCUGGAAUAACUCCACUGAAGUAAACAGGUACUCUAGAUUCAGGCUGCUGUAACUCAGAUCAAAAUCUGGCCCUUUUAUGUUCAACGUUCAUUGCAAUGUCAGGGAGACAAAUAUUUGUAUGUGUACUGAGAUACAGUUACAACUUAUAAAAGUGGGUAACAUACAGUAGUAGUGAGGGAAUUAUGAUUCCACAGCUUUUCUGACAGAGAGGGUACAAAUGAGGGCACCGUUAACUUGCAGCAAACUGCAUGAUAAACAAGACGAGAUAGCCUACACUGUGGAAAGGAAGAAUAUUUGCAAAUUUUUAAAGGCAACUUCAGUACUAAAUGCAAAACAUAGGCCCUCAGGCUGAAAGGGGUCUCUUCUGCUCUUUUAGAGCCUGCCCCAACUCCCACGAAGUCAACAGGAGCGUUACCACUGGCUUCAGGAGGAACUGGGUCAAAGCCGACUAUUUUUCAUGGCAUACAUUUCAGCCCAAUGACAGACAAAUAGCGGACGCUGACUUGCAUUCUGUUAAGUCGCUUACUAAGUGAAAAAUAGCGUAUUCUUUUUACAGAGCUUUCUAUUGAUUUAACAGCUGGGCUGAGAAAACACAAGCUGUCCAUGGCUCAUUUGUGUACAUUGGUUCCAAGCCAAAUUAGCUGCUGCGGGAAUACCACAUCACAUUGAUUGUGCUGUGCUCAGGUAAACAUUUAGACUGGCAGGAAUUCCUUACAAGUUACCUAGAUGGAAGAAGUGAAAUCAUGUGUGAAUGCUGUUCUGUUCCAUGGCAUGUGUAGCUAGGACAGCACAACCACUCCUGUCAUAAACUAGUAUGUUACCUUACUUCAGAAAAAUGUUCUGAUUAGAGCAUGCUAUGGAUAAAGGGCUUACUUGAAAUUGACUCGCUCACUCUUGGGUCCGCUGGGGAGAAAAACAAACACUUAAUCAGACUUUGUAAAAUAACCUCUCCUGAUAUUGCUACAGAAGCACAUUGGAAAGUGGUUUUCUAUGGCUGACAUAAACAAUAAUCUGUAAAAUAGCAACAAUUUUGGGAAGUUGAGUUCACUACAUUUUUGUGAAAGUUAAAGAAAUAAACGGCUCACGUAACUACACCUCUACCUUGAUAUAAUGCUGUCCUCGGGAGCCAAAAAAUCUUACUGUGUUAUAGGUGAAACUGAGCUAUAUCGAACUUGCUUUGAUCUGCCGGAGUGCACAGCCCUGCCCCCCCCCCGGGGCACUGCUUUACCACGUUAUAUCCAAAUUCGUGUUAUAUUGGGUCGCGUUAUAUCGGGGUAGAGGUGUAUUUCGAAUUACCGCACCACUGAGAUUUUAAAAAUGUUAUUAAUGGGUCACUACCAGUAAAAUUUGGAUUUGUUAAAAAAAAAAAAAAGUUACAAAGCUUAUCAUCAAUAAACAUAUUUCCAUGGCAUUUUAAAAA
Molecule: long non-coding RNA, 3303 nt
Organism: Gopherus flavomarginatus (Mexican gopher tortoise)
Lineage: Eukaryota; Metazoa; Chordata; Testudines; Testudinidae
Exons: 3
Source: RefSeq, a predicted model, not a curated record